AUGGGAUCAAUGCUUAGGCGCAUAAGGAAAAGGCUGGAUGGGUUAAGCAGGAAGUAUGACAACAACGAUAAUCAUCCAAUAUCAUCUGAUGAAGAAACAUUGCAAGCACGCAAGUGCAGGGACACUCCUCUCCAUCCGGAGCUAAACAAUAACGGUGUCCGUGCUGGUGAGGCUGAACUUCUAGAUGACUUGAGUGAGCCUGAGCUGGAUGACCGUGAACAUACUGAACAACGGAUCAUCGACGACAGAGACAUGUCUGAACCUGGGGACAGGUCAGGUGCUUCUUUCAGCCAGAAGGCCAGUUUGAAAAGAAGACACAAAAAUGGUAAUUGA
RNAcentral lists this ribosomal RNA (333 nucleotides) under Triticum aestivum (bread wheat). RNAcentral's name for it is "partial small subunit ribosomal RNA". The record is from RNAcentral. Lineage: Eukaryota; Viridiplantae; Streptophyta; Magnoliopsida; Poales; Poaceae.